Long non-coding RNA from Brassica napus (rape), 3637 nucleotides. RefSeq lists it as uncharacterized. The record is from RefSeq and is a predicted model, not a curated record. The transcript has 11 exons. Lineage: Eukaryota; Viridiplantae; Streptophyta; Magnoliopsida; Brassicales; Brassicaceae.
GAAAUUAAAUUUAAAAUUAUAUCAUAUUGAAAAUAACGUAUUUUAAGAUAAACGAUAUAUUACCUUAUCAGACUUUAAUAUUUGACUAAAUAAUGUAAUAUUUAAACAGUUUGCAAUAAAUCUAUUUAUAUAUUUUUAUUAUAUCUUUACCAAACAUAUUAUGUUAGGUCUGUAAUAUAUGAAUUAUAAAUAACAAAUGGGCUCUAUCCCAUUAUAUUAACCUUAACAUGUUUAUAUUAUCUAAGAUUAAUAUGUGGACAAAACAUCCACUUUAUCCUCUCUCUACUGUCGGUUUCUCAAAAUUGAAGAAUAAGGCGAUCUACAGACAGACGACCUUAGUUUGAUGCUCAUCGGUGAAUCACCUGUUGUAACCAAUGACUUUCGUUCUUUCAAUGAGAUAGAACAUGUUGUGAUGACUUCAAAGAGAGUAAAAACGGAUUCAAAGUUUAAGCCGUAAAAAUUCUGAUGGACACCGAAACUUGAAAGAUUUUAUAUACACGUAAGGAAAAUCAUAUAAGGAGAUUCAGAUGCAAUGAGAACGUUUUUAGCGUAUAUUAGGCCAUAUUGGGAACAUGAAGUAUGUGCUUAAGAGCAGCUUCAUGAAGUAACCUCUGUUUGGUUGGGAGUUUCACCUCUUUGAGUUUUUCCCCGUUGAGCGGAGAUGGGAAGUUGAUGACGCGAACUUGAGGCAGAUAGUUUCGAGUUUAAAGGAUCCAAGAGAUGCUUUGUGGCUUGAUAUUUUCCCUGAAGGCAGAGAUUACAUAGAGGCUAAAUGCCAAAGCUGAACAUGGCUUACCAGUUCUGAACAACCUCCUAUUGUCUUCCAAGAACUAAGCUGCUAACUCGAUGCAGUUUAUGAUGUGAUCAAAGUAUGCAUAAGACUCGUUACUGAACGCGUUCCAGCUAAAAGACCAGCUUCUUCGUGAGUUAUACCCUCGCGGCCAUUUCCCUAACGAAGGAACAGAGAAGGAGUUCAACACAAUGAAGUGCCUCAUAAACUGCUCGGCAGUGAUUGUCUUCACGGUCGAUAUGUUUUUGUGCAGAGCAAUGUAUAUCAGUAACCCAUACUUGUCGCAGCUACAUAUGGAGUUUGUGAAAGCUUUCCAAAUCUGGGAGAAGAUAUAUGUGGCAUUUGAACCGCUUGUGAGCCAAAUCCACCACUCUGAGGUCUAUCACAACUCUGAGGUACAUAUAGAUGAAGAAUGCGAGCUGUGUAAUAAAAAAAAAGUCAAUAGGAGAAUACUCAUACUCUUCAAGUGAAGUACAUAUAGAUGAAGAAUGCGAGCUGUGUAAUAAAAAAAAAGACAAUAGGAGAAUACUCAUACUCUUCACGUGAGAUAUGUUUGUGACAUCUUCCAACACCACUACUAUUCUGUUAUUUGCUUUUUGACUCCGAGCCUGAGAAUUGCCGUUCUCAUCAUUAACUGUUCUAUGUUUCCUUUUCUGAGAUGGUUGACCAUGGGAGACAAUCCCUGUGCCGUUUUCCUUAGGAAGAAUCAUGGAUUAAAUUGACUUAACUCAAUUGUCGUCUAUUGCGAAACCCUUAUUUCUCCCUUUAUAAAUGUUUAACGAAGUAUAGAUUCUAAUAAGGAUUAUAAUUUUUUACGAAGUACAGUUUCUAAUAAGUAAAAACUGAAUCUGCAUUCCAUACGGUAAUAGGAAAACUGGCUACAUAUAUAAUAUAUGUUAACAAUUAAUAAUUUAAAAAUAUUAAAAACUAUUUUGUUCUUAUAUUACUUGUAUUGAAAUGGUAGCAUUAGUUAUUUAUAUAUCUAAAUUUAAGUAUAAUGAUCUUUAUGUUUUUUUUUUUUGCUAUCUCUUUCAACAUUGUUCAAUAGAUAGUUAUAUUUCGGUAUGUCACUAAUUAAAGAUAAAAAAAUUUCAUACGUUGUUAUUGAAUUAUGUUAUUCUAAUCAUAAUGCUUACCAUUUAUAAAACCAAUUAUUUAUUAUAAACCAAUAAGAAAAAAACAAUAAUGAUUUGAAAACAUCACUCCUAAAAAAUAAAGCAUAACGACAAAGUGUGUAUGUAAACACUUAUUAAAAAUUCUAAAAAAUACCAAUAAUAAAGUGGUUGAACUAUAUUGCGCUGAGUUCAGUUCUUCCUUAAGCCUUGCUCAUCACUGCUCAUCUUCUCAAUCUUGAUACUUUUGACAGGGCGCAUCUUUGAAGUCGAGGUGUUAUCUGGAAUAUCAACAAUGUCGUCCACUGAUCGCUUAGAAGGAGUUGCCAUCUUGCUAGAGCUUUCAUCACUGCUGUGGAGAAUUUUGGCUUCGAUCAACCAGGCUGUCUUCCAUGGACGAAUCUCAUCAAGUGAUAAUAUACACAAUACAAUAAUAUAAAAGAGGGAAUUCGCAGAUGGCAUGUAACCUGAUAUUAAAACAAAAUAAGGUAAACCAUCAACAUUAAAUCUAUAAUAGUACAACUGCAUUAGGAAUGGAACUGAUUCUGGAUAGUUAGAAAAAUGUGGGCUACAUGCUGCUUGAUGGUUUCCAAAUGCUGAUUAUUUUAUAACUCUUGAUGUUAUUGAAAAAUUAAAAUUAUUAUAUAUGUUAAAAAAUUAAAAUUUAUAGUCAUAAAUACAUUAACAUAUACAUAAGAUAUUUUUUUUAAAAAAAAAUGUAGUAGCUUAAUGUAAAAUCCCAUUAAAAAGCAAAAAAAAAUUAAUAAAUCAAGAAGCACUAAAAAGUAAAAACAUAACAUAAAUUAAAACUAAAAAUAAAUAACACAGAGAAAAGUAUCAUAGAGUAUAAAUUAUAUCAGCCACUUUUAAUCUUGUUGCCUUCAUCAUUGGUGCAUUGCUUCUUCCUUGAAUAAGUUGUCAUCAUUGGUGCAUUGCUUCUUCCUUGAAUAAGUUGACAUCUGGUGGAGUGACUUGAUUCUCUUCCACAUAAUGUCAUUAAGAUUCCAAACUUUCAUGGCAUUGAAUUUAUCAGCACCACCAAUCAUAUUAUUUUCAUCAUCUGAAAUCCCAAAUUCAUAAGUUUUGCCAACUAUCUCCACAAUCUCAGGUGGUAAAACUUCUUGAUCUUCAAUCUAUUAUAAGAAGUUAUACUAAUUAGUUAACAUUCAGUGGACACGAAUUUAUAUUGUUAUAUUUAAAAAAUAAAUAAUAUAUAACCUCAGCCAAUGAAAGUUUCACGAUUUUUGCUGCUGUAGUUUUCACAAUAAGUUUUGUUUCUGCGUCCAGAAGUGUGAAUUUAGACUCACCAGUCUGAUCCUGCACAAGCAAAUCCAACUUGUACCUGAAUAAAAAUAUACAAUUCAAUUGUAUCGUAUUAGAAAAAGUAUAAUUACAUUUAUAUAACUCAAAAAUGUUAUUAAAAAUAAAUAACCUUGGUGAAACCUUGGUAACAAUACACUGGCAAAAUUCACACCACCAUAUUGGGACAAUCAUUUCAUCAAAUGAAACAGUUGGUUUGAAAACCUUAUUCUUGCAAACCAUACAAUAUAGAUAAUACCAUCCACUGGAGGUAUCAAUAGCAUACACCGUACAGAUUGUUGAAAUUAGUUGAACAAUAUAUGAGAUGAUAGCUUAAGGAGUUGAGAAUGAGAUAAUGUGAAGGCAAAGAGAAGGAGAGCUUGGGAGUGAUCAGGCCGUACAAGGCCGUACCGGCCGUACCAUCCGUACGGUCCGG